Unclassified non-coding RNA from Otolemur garnettii (small-eared galago), 104 nucleotides. It matches the Rfam family "Y RNA". From Rfam's summary of the family: Y RNAs are components of the Ro ribonucleoprotein particle (Ro RNP), in association with Ro60 and La proteins. The Y RNAs and Ro60 and La proteins are well conserved, but the function of the Ro RNP is not known. The record is from Ensembl. NCBI's taxonomy places the organism in Eukaryota, Metazoa, Chordata, Mammalia, Primates, Galagidae.
GGCUGGUCCAAGCACAGUAGUGUUUAUAGCUAAUUGAACAUAACCAAUUACAUAUUUCUUUGUUCCUUCUCCACUCCCACUGUGCUUCACUUGACUAGGCUAAA